This 32-nucleotide small nuclear RNA is filed under the name Cervus elaphus hippelaphus. It matches the Rfam family "Small nucleolar RNA U3", at positions 1 to 32 of the family's 219-position model. Rfam says of the family: Small nucleolar RNAs (snoRNAs) are involved in the processing and modification of rRNA in the nucleolus. There are two main classes of snoRNAs: the box C/D class, and the box H/ACA class. U3 snoRNA is a member of the box C/D class. Lineage: Eukaryota; Metazoa; Chordata; Mammalia; Artiodactyla; Cervidae. The record is from RNAcentral.
AAGAUGAUACUUUUAGGGAUCAUUUCUAUAGU